This is a long non-coding RNA of Suricata suricatta (meerkat), 338 nucleotides long. RefSeq lists it as uncharacterized. NCBI's taxonomy places the organism in Eukaryota, Metazoa, Chordata, Mammalia, Carnivora, Herpestidae. The transcript has 2 exons. The record is from RefSeq and is a predicted model, not a curated record.
CAGAGGCGGAAGAAAGAGGUGCUGGGUAGUUCCCAAGCGCGGUGCAGGCAGUGCGCUCAAAAUACUGGGCAGAGGAGGAGCCUUUAGGUGUGGGGUCCUAUGACCACAAUCACCCUGCAGCUGACCAGACAUCCCAGUGAUGGAAGACUUUGUUCCAAGACUUCUCUGGAACCCCUGCCCUGUGAACCUGGAUAACCGGAAAGUCCUCCAAAAGGAGUUUAGAACUUUUUCAUUAAGAAGUUUUGUCAUCAGUCUGGAAAUAUUUUCUUUUCCUGUACAUGCAGCCCUCUCUUUUGGUUUUGAAAGGCUUUCGAUCUAAAAUUAAAUUCUAACUCAUA